AUCUCUCUGUCAAAUAAAUAAAUAAAAUCUUAAAAAAUAAAAAAAAAAUUGUGAUGAAAUCCAAUUUAUCAAUUUUUUUAUGAAUCAUAUUUUUUGUGUCAGUAAUACUUUUUGCCUAGCCCUGGGUCUUGAAGAUUUCUUCCUACAAUUUUUUUCUUUUAGUUUUAUAGUUCACAUUUUACACGUUAGUCAAUGAUCCAUUUCGAUGUCAUUUUUGUAUAAAGUAUGAAACAAGUUGAGGUUCACUUUUACGGCCAAAGCACCAUUUGUUGAAAAGCUACCUUUUCUCCAAUGAAUUGCUUUUGUAGCUUCAUCAAAAAUAAGUUGGGCAUAUUGCUAGUUGGUGUCUCAGUUCUCUAUUCUGUUCCACUGACCCAUCAAAUGUGCCAGUCCCAUACAGAUUUCAUGAUUGCUUCUAUAUAUUAAGUCUUGAAAUCAGGUAGAUUGAUUUCUUCUACUUUAUUCUUCUUUUCAAAAUUGUUUCAGCUAUUUUAAUACUUUUGAUAAAAAGCUUUAGUCUUCUGGUAUAAGUUUUAGAAUAACCUUAUCUAUAGCUUAAAGAAUCUUGCUGGGGGUAUGUGGGAGACUCAGUUAAAUGUCAGGCUUUUGAUUUCCGCUCAGGUCAUGAUCUCAGGGUCAUGAGAUGGAGCCACACAUUGAGAUCUAUGCUGGACAUGGAGCCUGCACUAGCUUGAACUUCCAUUUGAAUUCAACUAUGCUGAAGAAAAAUGGUUUCCGCUGGAGCCCAUUCCAGCCAGCGUGCCCCACCUUACUGAGGUGAUGCUUCCAGGGAGCUGGAGAGACAGCAAGUCACCAAUUUUGGAAUAGAUCACCAAUUCUUCGAUGGAGCCCCGCAUUAUGCAGUUACCUGUGCUUGGAUGGGGGGAAUAUUAGAAGAAAUGGAUUUGAUAACAUAUGGCCAAAAAGAGAGAUGGUAGAAACUAGACAGACAUAGACAAUCCUCAAAUACUCACUGCCCAUCCAGCCUGAGGAGAUGUUCACCCUCCUGGAAGGCUGAGGAGCCGAGACUGAAUUCACUCCUCUGACUUCACCCUUCCUCCAGGAUAGGCUCACGGUGAGUUUUUAAUGUUACUCUAACAAAAUGCC
Molecule: long non-coding RNA, 1107 nt
Filed under: Mustela putorius furo (domestic ferret)
Lineage: Eukaryota; Metazoa; Chordata; Mammalia; Carnivora; Mustelidae
Description: lncRNA (ENSMPUG00000025066.1)
Source: RNAcentral